AGCAGUAGCCGCGGUAAUACAGAGGAUGCAAGCGUUAUCCGGAAUGAUUGGGCGUAAAGCGAGCGCAGGCGGUUAGAUAAGUCUGAAGUGAAAGGCAGUGGCUCAACCAUUGUAGGCUUUGGAAACUGUUUAACUUGAGUGCAGAAGGGGAGAGUGGAAUUCCAUGUGUAGCGGUGAAAUGCGUAGAUAUAUGGAGGAACACCGGUGGCGAAAGCGGCUCUCUGGUCUGUAACUGACGCUGAGGCUCGAAAGCGUGGGGAGCGAACAGGAUUAGAUACCCCUGUAGUCCCUGUCUCUUAUACA
RNAcentral lists this ribosomal RNA (303 nucleotides) under uncultured bacterium. RNAcentral's name for it is "partial 16S ribosomal RNA". It matches the Rfam family "Bacterial small subunit ribosomal RNA", at positions 507 to 808 of the family's 1533-position model. The record is from RNAcentral.